Molecule: long non-coding RNA, 241 nt
Filed under: Setaria italica (foxtail millet)
Lineage: Eukaryota; Viridiplantae; Streptophyta; Magnoliopsida; Poales; Poaceae
Description: long non-coding RNA (SITA_LNC001198)
Source: RNAcentral
CAAGUGGUACCAGCAACCAAACUAUUGACAUAACCUGAAAAAGAUUAGGCACAACAAGGCUGAGCAACUAGUACUCAGCAAGACUGACCGGUCGGAAAGACACGACCGAGACCUAGACAUGCAAGGCUUUCUGGCUCUGGGGUUUUCUUACCAAAAGUGUCUAAAGUCAGUCCUUACUUUCAACAUUUUAGCUCAUGUUCUAUGUUCUUUAACCAGUCUAGAUUAGCAACUUAUACUAAAC